RNAcentral lists this unclassified non-coding RNA (253 nucleotides) under uncultured Chloroflexota bacterium. RNAcentral describes it as "uncultured Chloroflexi bacterium contains 16S-23S intergenic spacer region". It matches the Rfam family "Bacterial small subunit ribosomal RNA", at positions 524 to 776 of the family's 1533-position model. The record is from RNAcentral. Lineage: Bacteria; Bacillati; Chloroflexota.
UACGGAGGGUGCGAGCGUUGUCCGGAUUUACUGGGCGUAAAGGGCGCGUAGGCGGCCGCGACAGUCGGUUGUGAAAGGGCGAGGCUUACCCUCGUCUUGGCGACCGGGACGUCGUGGCUGGAGCGCGGUAGAGGGAUGUGGAAUUCCGGGUGUAGUGGUGAAAUGCGUAGAGAUCCGGAGGAACACCAGUGGCGAAGGCGACAUCCUGGGCCGUGGCUGACGCUGAGGCGCGAGAGCGUGGGGAGCGAACCGG